GCAAAAAAAAAAAAGAGAAUGUUUUCCAAGGCUUCUUAUAAGAUGUCAGUGAAUCUUCAUAGUCUGAGUUGAGACCUUCUAAAACAAGCUUAAGGUAUGCUGAUUUGCAUACCUUUGACAAGGUUUAACUGACAUAUAAUUUAUAAAUAUCCACAGGAAUUUUUAAUGUUCCAUCAUAUCAUUUCUCAAUACUGGAUGUUCAUUAUUUUAUACUUUUGCUACUUUAAAUACCAAGAAGCCUUUUCACAGGAAGAAUAAAAUCUCCAUUAUCCUCCAGAGUGUAGGUAACAAAAUAUAAAAUUAAACCAGAUAUACGUUUGACAAACUAACACUGAAAAUCACCAAUAUUCAUAAUGACAUUACAUUAACAGUUAUCAUAAAGUCUAUAAAGUUUAUCCUUAGAUUUAUAAAAAAAUGCAGAUUGUCUCAAGGUAAAAAAUAUAGUAAGUGCUUUUUGCUAAAAAGCUCUUUGUUGAAUUAGGAUGUGUUAUAAUGAUCAAGACACCAGACAAUACUAAAUGUUACCCAAACUACAACACAACACACUUUGAACAUAAUUUAAGCCUAAAUUAUUCUGCACCAGCAGGAUUCUUUUUAGUGCCUGGCAGUAUAAAGCUUUAUAAAAGCUUUAUAAAAGCUUUUUUCUUAAAGGUAUUUAAGAAAAAAGACACAAAGUGUGAAUAACAAGUUAUGUGAAAAAAUUAAUACCAAUGAAGAUUAGCAGAGAGAAGUGAGGAAGGUGACCAUCUCUCCAUUCUGAUAAGAUGCCAUCUCUACACAUUACAUUCUUUUCAAGAAGUAGAACUUAAGAUUUAGGUAAAGAAAACUGGAAAAACCAGCCUGAAUGUGAAUAUCUAGUGUUAAAGCAACUUCCUAGAAUGAGUGAAUAAAGUUAAGAACAUAUAUAGUUUUCUACUGGAAAGUAAGAGUUUUUGAAGGCUUUCUUUUCUGCAAGGUUUGUAGUGUGACUGUUUUCCUACAAACUCAUUGAAUUCAGAGCUAAACAGUGGAAUUACAAGCAUAGCUCAAGAGGAACCCAGUCUGUUUCUGUUGUAGCAACCUAAGAUUUCUGUUAUGUUGUUGAAUCUGUGGUUGCUUCCUCAAUGACCAUUUCAAAUGACUCUGUCCUCUCAUCUGCUCAAAGCAGGAAGUCAAAUCAGGUUUUCCUUUUUCAUCAGAAGCAUCACCACACUUUCUGUUUGCGUUGAUGAGAUGGUACAGCAUAGUGACAUAUCCACAGAAAUCCUGCAAAUCCACUUUGCUCCUUAAUAUUUUCAAUGCUUUAUGGGCACCCAUACGACACAAGCAAACCCUCCUUGUGGUUUUAUUUUAUCAAAUGGAAAAGAUUUCUCUCAUCCCAUCAUUCAACAUUGUAAGCACAUGUGAAGCAUGAAUUACUUCAAGGAUCAUAACUCCAAGACAUAAUAAUAAUAUAGCAAGAAUAACAAUGGUGAAAUAUAUCUUGACAGUUUUUGAGAUCUUGUACCUUUGGAAAGUAAAAGAAACGGGGAUAUGACUUCUGGGGAUGACUUCUGGAUAACUGGUCUAAUAUGCUGAGGAGCUCUACUCUGAUGGAUUUGGAUUCAUUGGUGAGAGGAGCCAUGAAACAAGCAAUAUACAAUUCUUGUUUAGAACUCUGCUGCAAGUCACAGGUUCCAAAUCAAGAAGGCUUUCACAGUGUAAGAUACUGAGAAGAAAACCACAGUUGGGUUGUUUUGGUUGUGUGACCACAUCACUGAGACACAGACACAGUGUUGUGCUUUUCAGAACAAAGAAAAUUGAACUUCUUCAUCCCUGUGUAGAAUCUACACAUUUCGCUCAAGCAAAAACAAGUGAGGGCUGAAGAUGCUGAUCUAGUUGAUUUCCCAGUGUUCCCUGAAGCUUGCUUGAUAAAGAUUUCUAGGUCAUGACCCUGGAUCCUGAUUCAGAAGGAUGGAGUAGGACCCAGGAAUCUCUAUUUCACAAGAGUGGCACAAGUUCAAGAAUUGCUAUUGAGGAACCACUCAUCUAAUCUACCCCACUCUUUUCUUGGCUGGGGAAACUGAAGUCUAAGAAGGGAAAGGACACGUUCAGAGUCAGACUCUAAGUCUGUACCAGAAGCCCAUCAAGGACCUGGGUCAGUCCAGUGCUCUUUCCAUUGCCCCAUGUUGCUGUGCCAUACUAUUAUGUCCCUCCUUUUCAAACGCAAGAUGGUUAAAAAAAAAAAAAAAGGAAGAGGGUGAAAACAAUUGGUCUCUAUUUGUCAUAGGGGCUUGUCCGAAGGAACACAUUCAAAUG
This 2277-nucleotide long non-coding RNA is filed under the name Homo sapiens (human). Its description in RNAcentral is "HSALNT0363755". The record is from RNAcentral. Lineage: Eukaryota; Metazoa; Chordata; Mammalia; Primates; Hominidae.